AAUGAACGCUGGCGGCAGGCCUAACACAUGCAAGUCGAACGGAUCCUUCGGGAUUAGUGGCGGACGGGUGAGUAACGCGUGGGAACAUACCCUUUGGUACGGAAUAGCCUCGGAAAACUGGGAGUAAUACCGUAUGUGGUCGAGAGACGAAAGAUUUAUCGCCAAAGGAUUGGCCCGCGUUGGAUUAGGUAGUUGGUGGGGUAAUGGCCUGCCAAGCCGACGAUCCAUAGCUGGUUUGAGAGGAUGAUCAGCCACACUGGGACUGAGACACGGCCCAGACUCCUACGGGAGGCAGCAGUGGGGAAUCUUAGACAAUGGGGGAAACCCUGAUCUAGCCAUGCCGCGUGAUCGAUGAAGGCCUUAGGGUUGUAAAGAUCUUUCAGGUGGGAAGAUAAUGACUGUACCACCAGAAGAAGCCCCGGCUAACUCCGUGCCAGCCGCCGCAGUAA
Molecule: ribosomal RNA, 449 nt
Filed under: uncultured bacterium
Lineage: Bacteria
Description: partial 16S ribosomal RNA
Rfam family: Bacterial small subunit ribosomal RNA
Source: RNAcentral